This 372-nucleotide ribosomal RNA is filed under the name uncultured bacterium. Its description in RNAcentral is "partial 16S ribosomal RNA". It matches the Rfam family "Bacterial small subunit ribosomal RNA", at positions 338 to 707 of the family's 1533-position model. The record is from RNAcentral.
CCUACGGGAGGCAGCAGUGAGGAAUAUUGGUCAAUGGACGAGAGUCUGAACCAGCCAAGUAGCGUGAAGGAUGACUGCCCUAUGGGUUGUAAACUUCUUUUAUAUGGGAAUAAAACAGGGUAUGCAUACCCUCUUGUAUGUACCAUAUGAAUAAGGAUCGGCUAACUCCGUGCCAGCAGCCGCGGUAAUACGGAGGCACCGAGCGUUAUCCGGAUUUAUUGGGUUUAAAGGGAGCGUAGGUGGAGUGUUAAGUCAGGUGGGAAAGUUUGCGGCUCAACCGUAAAAUUGCAGUUGAAACUGGCAGUCUUGAGUACAGUAGAGGUGGGCGGAAUUCGUGGUGGAGCGGGGUAAUGCGUAGAUAGCACGAAGAAC